GACAGAGGGUGCAAACGUUGUUCGGAAUUACUGGGCGUAAAGCGCGUGUAGGCGGCCGCGCAAGUCGGAUGUGAAAUCCCACGGCUCAACCGUGGAAGGGCACCCGAAACUGCGUGGCUUGAGUCCUGGAGAGGAAGGUGGAAUGCUCGGUGUAGAGGUGAAAUUCGUAGAUAUCGAGCGGAACACCGGUGGCGAAGGCGGCCUUCUGGACAGUGACUGACGCUGAGACGCGAAAGCGUGGGGAGCAAACAGG
Molecule: ribosomal RNA, 253 nt
Filed under: uncultured bacterium
Lineage: Bacteria
Description: partial 16S ribosomal RNA
Rfam family: Bacterial small subunit ribosomal RNA
Source: RNAcentral